RNAcentral lists this small RNA (75 nucleotides) under Xanthomonas vasicola. Its description in RNAcentral is "sX9". Lineage: Bacteria; Pseudomonadati; Pseudomonadota; Gammaproteobacteria; Lysobacterales; Lysobacteraceae. The record is from RNAcentral.
AUGUACGAGCGGUACAUGCCGAUUCCGAGCAUCUGCCCACACCCGCCUGGCGGCUGCACGGUUGUUGUGUCAGCU